Molecule: long non-coding RNA, 507 nt
Organism: Centruroides sculpturatus (bark scorpion)
Lineage: Eukaryota; Metazoa; Arthropoda; Arachnida; Scorpiones; Buthidae
Exons: 4
Source: RefSeq, a predicted model, not a curated record
UUGUAGCGCUUUAUUGUUGAAUUCAAGACAUUAACUUCUGUUCACAUAGAAGAGGUUUGAUUCAAAAACAAAUGGGAAAUUUGCUUUCAAAAUAGUAAGCAAAUCCUUCGAUUCAUUUCAUUCUCUUCGAAGAAUCAAAGAAAUUUCAAUAAUUUUCAGAUCGACUACCCAAGUUAAAGAUGCGGAAUCCGUUUGCUGAAGGAAGAUAUAUCAGAAAUUGCCAUUGAACUUCACCAUGAUUUCAAAGAGACGUAAUAGAACACGUAAUAGGCGCAUUGUAAUUUGAGUGGAUCCUAAAAACAAAGCUGAGAAACGAUCCACAAGAAAUUUGUGACGUUGAAGCUCCUGUUUCGAGUGUAACUGAAAUAAAACAAAUAUCACCAAGGGAUACAUCGCAAGAACCUCUAAAAAUAGAAGGAAAGUUGUGAAUACUAUUCAAGGUUCCAAAGAAAAUGAGAUUUAAUGAUACGAGAAAUUGCAUCAACAUGAAAACAAAUUAACUAGAAC